RNAcentral lists this ribosomal RNA (164 nucleotides) under Goodenia macmillanii. Its description in RNAcentral is "5.8S ribosomal RNA". It matches the Rfam family "5.8S ribosomal RNA". Rfam says of the family: 5.8S ribosomal RNA (5.8S rRNA) is a component of the large subunit of the eukaryotic ribosome. It is transcribed by RNA polymerase I as part of the 45S precursor that also contains 18S and 28S rRNA. Lineage: Eukaryota; Viridiplantae; Streptophyta; Magnoliopsida; Asterales; Goodeniaceae. The record is from RNAcentral.
CAAACGACUCUCGGCAACGGAUAUCUCGGCUCAUGCAUCGAUGAAGAACGUAGCGAAAUGUGAUACUUGGUGUGAAUUGCAGAAUCCCGUGAACCAUCGAGUCUUUGAACGCAAGUUGCGCCCGAAGCCAUUCGGCCGAGGGCACGUCUGCCUGGGCGUCACGC